UAAUACGUAGGGGGCAAGCGUUGUCCGGAAUCAUUGGGCGUAAAGAGCGUGUAGGCGGCCCGGUAAGUCCGCUGUGAAAGUCCAGGGCUCAACCCUGGAAUGCCGGUGGAUACUGUCGGGCUCGAGUCCGGAAGAGGUGAGUGGAAUUCCUGGUGUAGCGGUGAAAUGCGCAGAUAUCAGGAGGAACACCAAUGGCGAAGGCAGCUCACUGGGACGGUACUGACGCUGAGACGCGAAAGCGUGGGGAGCAAACAGGAUUAGAUACCCUGGUAGUCCACGCCGUAAACGAUGGUCACUAGGUGUGGGGGGUGUCGACUCCCUCCGUGCCGGAGCUAACGCAUUAAGUGACCCGCCUGGGGAGUACGGCCGCAAGGCU
RNAcentral lists this ribosomal RNA (376 nucleotides) under uncultured bacterium. Its description in RNAcentral is "bacterial SSU rRNA". It matches the Rfam family "Bacterial small subunit ribosomal RNA", at positions 521 to 895 of the family's 1533-position model. The record is from RNAcentral.